RNAcentral lists this ribosomal RNA (465 nucleotides) under uncultured bacterium. RNAcentral describes it as "partial 16S ribosomal RNA". It matches the Rfam family "Bacterial small subunit ribosomal RNA", at positions 28 to 507 of the family's 1533-position model. The record is from RNAcentral.
GAUGAACGCUGGCGGCGUGCUUAACACAUGCAAGUCGAACGAUGAAGCCCAGCUUGCUGGGUGGAUUAGUGGCGAACGGGUGAGUAACACGUGAGUAACCUGCCCUUAACUCUGGGAUAAGCCUGGGAAACUGGGUCUAAUACCGGAUAGGAGCGUCCACCGCAUGGUGGGUGUUGGAAAGAUUUAUCGGUUUUGGAUGGACUCGCGGCCUAUCAGCUUGUUGGUGAGGUAAUGGCUCACCAAGGCGACGACGGGUAGCCGGCCUGAGAGGGUGACCGGCCACACUGGGACUGAGACACGGCCCAGACUCCUACGGGAGGCAACAGUGGGGAAUAUUGCACAAUGGCGCAAGCCUGAUGCAGCGACGCCGCGUGAGGGAUGACGGCCUUCGGGUUGUAAACCUCUUUCAGUAGGGAAGAAGCGAAAGUGACGGUACCUGCAGAAGAAGCACCGGCUAACUACGUG